CUCCCAACUUUGACGGAUUUAUGAGAUUUGUUAGAAAUACAACAUAAAUUAUGAUGUAACUUGUACAUUGGCACGUCUUCUUUUAGUUUUUUCCUUUUAAUGGUGGGUUAGAAAUAAUACAUAAAUUAUCAUGUAACUUGUACAUUGGCAUGUCUUCUUUUAGUUUGUUUUCCUUUUAAUGGUGGCAUUAGUACCAUGUUGUGCUCAUUC
RNAcentral lists this long non-coding RNA (210 nucleotides) under Nicotiana benthamiana. RNAcentral's name for it is "long non-coding RNA (NBEN_LNC003094)". Lineage: Eukaryota; Viridiplantae; Streptophyta; Magnoliopsida; Solanales; Solanaceae. The record is from RNAcentral.